RNAcentral lists this ribosomal RNA (229 nucleotides) under uncultured bacterium. RNAcentral's name for it is "partial 16S ribosomal RNA". It matches the Rfam family "Bacterial small subunit ribosomal RNA", at positions 568 to 796 of the family's 1533-position model. The record is from RNAcentral.
UGCGCAGGCGGGGAUGUAAGUCAGUGGUGAAAUACUGCCGCUCAACGGUAGAACUGCCAUUGAUACUGCAUCUCUUGAGUAUGGUUGAGGUAGGCGGAAUGUGUUGUGUAGCGGUGAAAUGCAUAGAUAUGACACAGAACGCCAAUUGCGAAGGCAGCUUACUAAACCAUUACUGACGCUGAGGCACGAAAGCGUGGGGAGCGAACAGGAUUAGAUACCCGAGUAGUCC